GAGAGGUGGCGGAGCGGUCGAUCGCGGCGGUCUUGAAAACCGUUGACCCGAAAGGGUCCGGGGGUUCGAAUCCCUCCCUCUCC
RNAcentral lists this transfer RNA (83 nucleotides) under bovine gut metagenome. It matches the Rfam family "tRNA". From Rfam's summary of the family: Transfer RNA (tRNA) molecules are approximately 80 nucleotides in length. The record is from RNAcentral.